Non-coding RNA from Acanthosepion pharaonis, 113 nucleotides. Lineage: Eukaryota; Metazoa; Mollusca; Cephalopoda; Sepiida; Sepiidae. The record is from the annotation of a GenBank genome assembly.
UUACGGCCAUAUCAUAUCGAAACACCGGUUCCCGUAUGAUCACUAAAGUUAAGCAAAGUCGUGUCUGAUCAGUACCUAGAUGGGUGACCGCUGGGUAAUACCAGGUGCUGUAA